UGAACGCUAGCGGCAGGCCUAACACAUGCAAGUCGAGGGGUAGCAGGAUUAAGCUUGCUUAAUUGCUGACGACCGGCGCACGGGUGCGUAACGCGUAUGCAACCUACCUUAUACUGGGGUAUAGCCCGGAGAAAUUCGGAUUAAUCCCCCAUAGUACUAUUUGAUCGCAUGGUUGAAUAGUUAAAGCAUUGCGGUAUAAGAUGGGCAUGCGUCCUAUUAGCUAGAUGGUGAGGUAACGGCUCACCAUGGCUACGAUAGUAGGGGGCCUGAGAGGGUGGUCCCCCCACACUGGUACUGAGACACGGACCAGACUCCUACGGGAGGCAGCAGUGAGGAAUAUUGGUCAAUGGGCGCAAGCCUGAACCAGCCAUGCCGCGUGCAGGAAGAAUGCCCUAUGGGUUGUAAACUGCUUUUAUUUGGGAAUAAACCUCUUUACGUGUAGAGAGCUGAAGGUACCAAAUGAAUAAGCACCGGCUAACUCCGUG
Molecule: ribosomal RNA, 485 nt
Filed under: uncultured bacterium
Lineage: Bacteria
Description: bacterial SSU rRNA
Rfam family: Bacterial small subunit ribosomal RNA
Source: RNAcentral